UCUCUGGUGGUCCAGUGGUUAGGACUCCAAGCUUCCAGUGCAGGAGGUUCGGGUUCAAUUCCUGGUUGGGGAA
RNAcentral lists this transfer RNA (73 nucleotides) under Bos taurus (domestic cattle). It matches the Rfam family "tRNA". Rfam says of the family: Transfer RNA (tRNA) molecules are approximately 80 nucleotides in length. Their secondary structure includes four short double-helical elements and three loops (D, anti-codon, and T loops). Further hydrogen bonds mediate the characteristic L-shaped molecular structure. tRNAs have two regions of fundamental functional importance: the anti-codon, which is responsible for specific mRNA codon recognition, and the 3' end, to which the tRNAs corresponding amino acid is attached (by aminoacyl-tRNA synthetases). tRNAs cope with the degeneracy of the genetic code in two manners: having more than one tRNA (with a specific anti-codon) for a particular amino acid; and 'wobble' base-pairing, i.e. permitting non-standard base-pairing at the 3rd anti-codon position. Lineage: Eukaryota; Metazoa; Chordata; Mammalia; Artiodactyla; Bovidae. The record is from Rfam by way of RNAcentral. RNAcentral also lists the same sequence under 3 other names.